This 505-nucleotide long non-coding RNA is filed under the name Populus trichocarpa (black cottonwood). RNAcentral describes it as "long non-coding RNA (PTRI_LNC000053)". Lineage: Eukaryota; Viridiplantae; Streptophyta; Magnoliopsida; Malpighiales; Salicaceae. The record is from RNAcentral.
CAUCGUAUUUGCAGUUCCAUCCAAGAAAACACACGUAGAGAUUCCCUGACAUGCUUCCCUGAUACCUGGGAAACUAGAGGCAAGAGACCUUCAUGCAUGGCAUAUGAAUCAGUUAUCAAGAGCAAAAUUUAUCACCACCACCAUGUUUUAAGAUCAAUCUAACACCAAGCCCAUGGACCCCAGGGCUCGUGGCCUCUACAACUCAAGUACGUCAGUCAUCACAUCUACAACCAUAGACAAUUCACCCAGGCAGCUACAUGACACUGCAUAGGCCAUGCAUGAAUCAAGCUUUUAAUCAAGGGGAUAAAAUAUAGCAUCGGGUAAUCAAAGAGAAUGGUUCCUACCAGCCAUAUUGCUUCCCGAUUUUCACUGUCAUUCUGAGCAUCCAUACUUCUUACCACGGUCAAAAACCCGUUCGCCAAGCUCCCUUAGUGUUCACAUAUGAAUCAAAAGAUCUAGAAUUAAAUCUCUCUCCUCUUGGAUUCUCUGUGUUAUAGGAGCAGUU